RNAcentral lists this long non-coding RNA (556 nucleotides) under Brassica rapa (field mustard). Its description in RNAcentral is "long non-coding RNA (BRAP_LNC002627)". Lineage: Eukaryota; Viridiplantae; Streptophyta; Magnoliopsida; Brassicales; Brassicaceae. The record is from RNAcentral.
UAAUUCCUAAUUUUAUUUAUGGAAAUAAUGAAGCACAUUAGUAAUGUAUUUAUAGUUAGUUUAAUAAAAAGUUUAUUAUAUAUUUAGAUGGACCAUAUUUCUCUAAGGAUUCUAAGAAUCAUUUUAGUGAUGACAUGUGGCUACAAAAAAAAUGUUAUAAUGCUUCUCAAAUAAUAUAUAGGGGAUUUUUUUCCGCGUUCAUCCUAAACCAAAACUUAAAUUUAUCGAUGAUAUUCAUAAAAAUUCGAGUUGAUUACCAUCUAAAGCAUUUGCAAAUGUCUUAACACAUAAGCCCUUUUUCAAAAAAAAAAAAAGAGUCUUAACACAUGUAUACAUCUUACUAUUAAAAUACGAAUAUGGAAAAUGUGAAUUAACGUCAUCCUCCAUACCUCAACUCCUUAACAAUAAACAUUUGAUACUAUACAUUUUUACAAUUGGGAUGCCAAAUCUGAUUGGUUUCCUAACGACGUUUAAUUUUUUAUCGUUUAUAAUUUCAAAGAUAUACUACCAAAUUUCAUUCCAAACUAUAAUUCGUUGGGGGAACUAAUGUAAAACA